UGGGGAAUAUUGGACAAUGGGCGAAAGCCUGAUCCAGCCAUGCCGCGUGUGUGAAGAAGGUCUUCGGAUUGUAAAGCACUUUAAGUUGGGAGGAAGGGCAGUAAGCGAAUACCUUGCUGUUUUGACGUUACCGACAGAAUAAGCACCGGCUAACUCUGUGCCAGCAGCCGCGGUAAUACAGAGGGUGCAAGCGUUAAUCGGAAUUACUGGGCGUAAAGCGCGCGUAGGUGGUUCGUUAAGUUGAAUGUGAAAGCCCCGGGCUCAACCUGGGAACUGCAUCCAAAACUGGCGAGCUAGAGUAGAGCAGAGGGUGGUGGAAUUUCCUGUGUAGCGGUGAAAUGCGUAAAUAUAGGAUGGAACACCAGUGGCGAAGGCGGCCACCUGGGCUAAUACUGACACUGAGGUGCGAAAGCGUGGGGAGCAGACAGG
RNAcentral lists this ribosomal RNA (429 nucleotides) under Pseudomonadota bacterium. RNAcentral's name for it is "Proteobacteria bacterium partial 16S ribosomal RNA". It matches the Rfam family "Bacterial small subunit ribosomal RNA", at positions 355 to 776 of the family's 1533-position model. The record is from RNAcentral. Lineage: Bacteria; Pseudomonadati; Pseudomonadota.